GACGAACCGUGCGAACGUUGUUCGGAAUCACUGGGCUUAAAGGGCGCGUAGGCGGAUAUCCAAGUCAGGGGUGAAAUCUUUCAGCUUAACUGGAAAACGGCCUGUGAUACUGGAUGUCUGGAGUGAGGUAGGGGCAUGCGGAACUUCCGGUGGAGCGGUGAAAUGCGUAGAUAUCGGAAGGAACACCGAUGGCGAAGGCAGCAUGCUGGACCUCAACUGACGCUGAGGCGCGAAAGCCAGGGGAG
RNAcentral lists this ribosomal RNA (245 nucleotides) under uncultured bacterium. Its description in RNAcentral is "partial 16S ribosomal RNA". It matches the Rfam family "Bacterial small subunit ribosomal RNA", at positions 524 to 768 of the family's 1533-position model. The record is from RNAcentral.